This 240-nucleotide unclassified non-coding RNA is filed under the name soil metagenome. RNAcentral describes it as "partial contains 5.8S ribosomal RNA, internal transcribed spacer 2, and large subunit ribosomal RNA". The record is from RNAcentral.
AACGCACGAGACCUGCGGACCUGCGGAAGGAUCAUUGAUGAGAAACUGCCCCUCGCGGGUAGAUCUCCCACCCUUUGUAAACUUACCUUUGUUGCUUUGGCAGGCCCGUCUCCGGACCGCCGGCUUCGGCUGGCCAGUGCCUGCCAGAGGAUUCUAAAACUCUGUCUGUCAGUGUUGUCUGAGUCUAUAUACAAUCGUUAAAACUUUUAACAACGGAUCUCUAGAUCGGAAGAGCACACG